RNAcentral lists this ribosomal RNA (255 nucleotides) under uncultured bacterium. RNAcentral's name for it is "partial 16S ribosomal RNA". It matches the Rfam family "Bacterial small subunit ribosomal RNA", at positions 524 to 776 of the family's 1533-position model. The record is from RNAcentral.
UGCGGAGGGGACUAGCGUUGUUCGGAAUUACUGGGCGUAAAGCGCACGUAGGCGGAUUUGUAAGUCAGGGGUGAAAUCCCGGGGCUCAACCCCGGAACUGCCUUUGAUACUGCAAAUCUCGAGUCCGGAAGAGGUGAGUGGAAUUCCUAGUGUAGAGGUGAAAUUCGUAGAUAUUAGGAAGAACACCAGUGGCGAAGGCGGCUCACUGGUCCGGUACUGACGCUGAGGUGCGAAAAGCGUGGGGGAGCGAACAGG